GACGAACGCUGGCGGCGUGCCUAAUACAUGCAAGUAGAACGCACAGUUUAUACCGUAGCUUGCUACACCAUAGACUGUGAGUUGCGAACGGGUGAGUAACGCGUAGGUAACCUGCCUGGUAGCGGGGGAUAACUAUUGGAAACGAUAGCUAAUACCGCAUAAUAUUAAUUAUUGCAUGAUAAUUGAUUGAAAGAUGCAACUGCAUCACUACCAGAUGGACCUGCGUUGUAUUAGCUAGUAGGUGAGGUAACGGCUCACCUAGGCGACGAUACAUAGCCGACCUGAGAGGGUGAUCGGCCACACUGGGACUGAGACACGGCCCAGACUCCUACGGGAGGCAGCAGUAGGGAAUCUUCGGCAAUGGACGAAAGUCUGACCGAGCAACGCCGCGUGAGUGAAGAAGGUUUUCGGAUCGUAAAGCUCUGUUGUAAGAGAAGAACGGGUGUGAGAGUGGAAAGUUCACACUGUGACGGUACCUUACCAGAAAGGGACGGCUAACUACGU
This 504-nucleotide ribosomal RNA is filed under the name uncultured bacterium. RNAcentral describes it as "partial 16S ribosomal RNA". It matches the Rfam family "Bacterial small subunit ribosomal RNA", at positions 28 to 506 of the family's 1533-position model. The record is from RNAcentral.